CUUACAGCCAACUUAUGCUUGAUCUGCAACGCAAUUGCGGUGCUACCGGAGGCCUGCAAAUUUAGCGACUCCCAAAUGUUAUAAUGCGGAGGGCUUCAUAUGGCUCCACGUUGACAUGAUUCGUUUGGUUGACGGACUGAGUUUGGGAAAGGCUGCCCUAGAAUCUUCAGACACAGAUUAAUACACAGAUCUGAACAGCUGCAUAAGAGGCUAUAAUGGGCCGGAGGGCACAGAGGAAUGGAGCAUUCUGAUCGGCACUUUCUGUCAGACCCUGUGUAUAUUAAUUUGGGAGUCUGUUCUUCAGGCUGUUUAGAACCUGGAUGGCCUGAUACCACAUGUUAUGGACACAUACUCUGGGUGAUACUGGCAGAGUGAUUGUAUGGACAGUUACAGCCCUAAGCCGACUCCCACUCCAAAUUAACUCUGCAUUUUUGUCUAGCGAGCAAAUGGAUCUGACAAGCAGAAGGGCCAUAUGUUGUCUAGGAGUGACAUGUGUAUGGACACACACUCUGAGAUACGGGGUGAUGUUACGGACACAGAAACCGUCAGUAUGAUACAGACAGUGACAGGGUGUUGAACUGCAGUACAACGUCUGGGCUGUUCCCUGGAUCCAUUGACCAGAACAGGGACUCCAGAAGGCACAGUUGUGAACCUGGACCGAGAAUGAACAGUUGCC
Molecule: long non-coding RNA, 676 nt
Organism: Oncorhynchus tshawytscha (Chinook salmon)
Lineage: Eukaryota; Metazoa; Chordata; Actinopteri; Salmoniformes; Salmonidae
Source: Ensembl